GUCUGAUAUUAGACUGGAGCAAUUUUAAAGAAUCCCUUAGUAUAGGAAUGGAACUGGCAGAAAAGUUAGAGCAGAAAGCUAGAAACCUACUAUUCCAACUACAUAUCAAGAGAAUUGAAAUAUUAGAUGCACGGAACAUCAAAUAAUAUUGUGUAAAACCAAAGUGUACAGGUAUAUGAACAAUUAUACUGUGUAUUAAUAUUCAAUAUUCAGUGGUUAGUGAAGAAGCAAAAACGG
Molecule: long non-coding RNA, 237 nt
Filed under: Mytilus galloprovincialis (Mediterranean mussel)
Lineage: Eukaryota; Metazoa; Mollusca; Bivalvia; Mytilida; Mytilidae
Source: RNAcentral